AUUGAACGCUGGCGGCAUGCUUUACACAUGCAAGUCGAACGGCAGCACGGGUGCUUGCACCUGGUGGCGAGUGGCGGACGGGUGAGUAAUGCAUCGGAACGUGUCCUGAAGUGGGGGAUAACGCAUCGAAAGAUGUGCUAAUACCGCAUAUUCUCUGAGGAGGAAAGUAGGGGAUCGAAAGACCUUAUGCUUUUGGAGCGGCUGAUGUCUGAUUAGCUAGUUGGUAAGGUAAUGGCUUACCAAGGCGACGAUCAGUAGUUGGUCUGAGAGGACGACCAGCCACACUGGGACUGAGACACGGCCCAGACUCCUACGGGAGGCAGCAGUGGGGAAUUUUGGACAAUGGGCGCAAGCCUGAUCCAGCAAUGCCGCGUGAGUGAAGAAGGCCU
RNAcentral lists this ribosomal RNA (389 nucleotides) under uncultured bacterium. RNAcentral describes it as "bacterial SSU rRNA". It matches the Rfam family "Bacterial small subunit ribosomal RNA", at positions 30 to 417 of the family's 1533-position model. The record is from RNAcentral.